AUGAAAGGAGUUGAUGAUUUCAUGGCAUUUGUUCGGGCAAAUUUUUCAAACGAUGCUGACAUUCUUUGCCCAUGCUGCGAAUGCCUCAACCGUUCAAGAAAGGCUCAAGGAAGAGUGGAAGAUCAUCUGCUUCUUAAUGGGAUGUCCAGCACAGAUGAUAGAUGGAUAUAUCAUGGAGAACCUUUAGACGGACAACCUCAACAUUUUGAAGCUGAUACACAUGCCCCUCAUAUGAUGGGUGGUGGUGAUGCUGGCAUUGAUUUCAUGGAAAAGGUUUUGCAAGAUAAUGCUGGUUUGGAGGAAGAGGAUGGGCAUGAAGAUGAUAGGAUUCCUGACCUAUUGAAGGAUCUGUAUGAUGCUGAAGAUCGUGCUGAUGGACAUAAGUCAUUGUUUGCUGAGGUGUUAGAGGAGGCGAAGCACGCAGCUCAUGAAGGGGGUAAAUUUUCAAGAUUUACCUUCACUGUGAAGUUACUCCCCAUCAAGUCUUUCUGCCGGAUUAGCAAUGCGCCAUUCAAGGCAAUACUCCGCCUUUUGAGCUUGCAAUUCCCUGAUAGCUGUGUUCCCAGAUCUUAUGAUGAAGCAUUGAGCAUAAUCCAUAGGCUGGGGCUAGGUUAUGUUUCAAUACAUGUGUGCCCAAAUAACUGUGUCUUGUUUCGGAAGGAUUUGGCAAAGCAUGACAACUGUCCAAAAUGCAAUGCCUCUAGGUGGAAAGAUGCUGAUUGGAAGAAGUCAAUACCGGAGAAGGUACUGAGGCACUUUCCGUUGAUACCAAGGCUGCAGCGGAUGUUUAUCUCAAAGAAAUCAUCGCUGGAGGUACAAUGGCACAAGCUGAAGCGGCAACCUGUGCACAAUGAGCUGAGCCAUCUAGUGGAUGGAGAGGCAUGGCAAGAGUUUGAUAGUAUACAUCUAGAUUUUGCUGCAGAUCCAAGGAACAUAAAACUUGGCAUUGCCACAGAUGGCUUUAAUCCAUUUGGGAACAUGAGCACGUUUAUAGCAUGUGGCCAGUUUUUGUGGCGCUGUACAACCUGCCACCAUGGGCAUGCAUGGAUCAGUCCAACUUCAUGA
RNAcentral lists this ribosomal RNA (1065 nucleotides) under Triticum aestivum (bread wheat). RNAcentral's name for it is "partial small subunit ribosomal RNA". The record is from RNAcentral. Lineage: Eukaryota; Viridiplantae; Streptophyta; Magnoliopsida; Poales; Poaceae.